This 475-nucleotide ribosomal RNA is filed under the name Clostridioides difficile. RNAcentral's name for it is "partial 23S ribosomal RNA". It matches the Rfam family "Bacterial large subunit ribosomal RNA", at positions 1084 to 1563 of the family's 2925-position model. The record is from RNAcentral. Lineage: Bacteria; Bacillati; Bacillota; Clostridia; Peptostreptococcales; Peptostreptococcaceae.
CACAGACAACCAGGAUGUUGGCUUAGAAGCAGCCACUCAUUCAAAGAGUGCGUAAUAGCUCACUGGUCGAGUGAUCCUGCGCCGAAGAUUUCCGGGGCUAAAACUUACUACCGAAGCUACGGCAUCAGUAAUGAUGGGUAGGGGAGCUUCCCAUACGGGUUGAAGCAUGACCGUAAGGACAUGUGGACAGUAUGGGAGUGAGAAUGUUGGCAUGAGUAGCGAGAUGUGGGUGAGAAUCCCACAGGCCGUAAACCCAAGGUUUCCAGGGGAAGGUUCGUCCGCCCUGGGUUAGUCGGGACCUAAGCUGAGGCCGAAAGGCGUAGGUGAUGGACAACAGGUUGAUAUUCCUGUACUACCGAUAACCGUUUGAGAGAAGGGAUGACACAGUAGGAUAAGCUAAGCACACUGUUGGUUAUGUGUGCCCAAGCAUUGAGGCAGUCAAAGUAGGCAAAUCCGCUUUGAUAAUGCUGGGAUG